UGGCGACCGGCGCACGGGUGAGUAACACGUAUCCAAACCUGCCGAUAACUCGGGGAUAGCCUUUCGAAAGAAAGAUUAAUAUCCGAUAGGAUAUCAAGAUCGCAUGAUCUUGAUAUUAAAGAAUUUCGGUUAUCGAUGGGGAUGCGUUCCAUUAGUUAGUUGGCGGGGUAACGGCCCACCAAGACGACGAUGGAUAGGGGUUCUGAGAGGAAGGUCCCCCACAUUGGAACUGAGACACGGUCCAAACUCCUACGGGAGGCAGCAG
RNAcentral lists this ribosomal RNA (265 nucleotides) under uncultured bacterium. RNAcentral's name for it is "partial 16S ribosomal RNA". It matches the Rfam family "Bacterial small subunit ribosomal RNA", at positions 89 to 354 of the family's 1533-position model. The record is from RNAcentral.